GUUCAGUACCUGCAGGAAUUGAGAAUCUGCCAAGCUUUACUGGCUUAUCCGUUUGUCGGACCAGCGCUAUCACAGGUGGAUAAAGUCUCAAGGAUUCAUUGAAAAUCAUCCCCAUCUGCAAUAGUAAGGAGCACCUUUCAUGGCCCAGAGGGGAACCUGGGGUAGAAGAGGUCGAAGAAAUGCCAAAGGGCAAGACAAUGCUGUAGAUGAAGUGCUCAGGAGGUUGCAGACCCUUUAGGCCAAAUUAUUGCAUGAGGAUUCUGAGGAAGAACCAGAAGACCAAGGAGGUCAAGGGGGAGCCAUUGAUCCCAUAGAAAGACUUAUUGAGGCCUUUACCAAACAGGGAUUGAAGAGACUGAUCUACACCGGGUCAAAGUUGCUACAUCCAAACUGAAGUCUUAUGCUGCUCUAUGGUGGGAGAAUCUCCAAACAACUAGGAAAAGACAGGGAAAAGAGAAAAUCAGACUUUGGCCAAAGAUGUUAAAACUCUUGAGAGCUAAGUUCAUACCCUCGGAUUAUCAGCAAAAACUCUUUAAAGAGUUUCAAAAUCUGAAGCAAAGAGAGCUGAUCAUAUCAGCUUAUACUGAAGAAUUUUUGAGGUUGCAAAUCAGGACUAAUUUAGGAGAAGAUGAUGAGCAUGCAGCAGCUAGAUACAUUAGUGGACUUCGAUUCCAACUCCAGAAUGAAUUAGCCUUACUCAAAGUGAGUACCGUGGAUGAGGUAUAUCAAUUAGCCUUGAAAGUAGAAGAAAAAAUUGAAUAGGAUUGGUAAAGUGGCAAACAAAAGAUGUGGCGGCAUUUCAAGUAUAGUUCCAAAACAGCUAAUGGAGAAGAGCCAGAAGAUGAUGUAAAGCCAAACUUCCAAGGGAGGGGUGGUCUUAGAGGUAGGGCACGAGAACAACGAUUAUCUGAAGGAUGGAAACCCUUGAAAGGCUUCAUUUGUUGUGAAGCCCAUAAAGCUGUAGACUCUCCUCCAAAUCCCAGGAGAGCAAUGGUAAUCCAAGAAAAAGGAGAAGAGCCCUUGAGAGAAGACGUUGCAGCAGAAAUAGGUGAGAGUUUGAUGUUGAAUAGACCUUUGAUUGCUGGUGACAAGGAAACCCCCACAGCUGAUUGGAGAAGGAAUAGUGUGUUUUGAAUGCAAUGCAAGUGAAAAGAUAAGGUGUGCAAAGUAAUUGUGGAUUGGAGGAUCCACUGAUAACCUGGUAAGUACAAAAUGGUGCAAAAUUACAGCUGGUAGGUAUGUAUUCCAAAACGAGUUAUAAAAUUUCUUGGUUAAAAAAGGAAAGUGUGCUUGUGAAUCAAUCUUGUCUAGAUGACUUCAAAAUUGGCCCUUAUGAGGAUAGAAUGUUAUGUGAUGUAGUACCAAUGGAUGCUUGUCACCUGUUAUUGGGUAGGCCUUGGUUAUAUGACAGAAGUGUAACUCACCAUGGCAGAGAAAAUGCCUAUGAGAUUCGGCAAGAGGGUAAGCUUCAUGUAUUGAAACCAUUUAAAGGAGGAGAGAAAACUGAAAUAAAAGAUUUGUCUUUGACCACAGUGGGCUGUAAAGAGUCUUUUAGAGAAUCUAAGGGAGGGACUUGCCAUCUAUUGUACCCUCUAGAAAAUAAGAAUUCAAAUCAGCAGAUAAUUCCGUUGAAGGUACAAGAACUGUUACAACUUACAACAAUAUUCUGAUUUGACACUGUCUGACCUACCAGCUGGUUUGCCUUUGUUCAGAGGCAUUACCCAUCAAAUUGAUCUUAUCCCAGGUGCCAAACUUCUGAAUGAAGUUGCUUAUAGGUUGCCUCCACUAAAAAAUGAGGAGACAAAUUACUGAAUUAUUGAAAAAAGGAUUUGUAAGAGAAAGCAUGAGUCCAUGUGCCACACCUACUCUAGUCUCUCCUAAGAAGGGGGGUAAAUGGAGGCUAUGUAUGGAUUCUAGAGCCAUUACCAAAAUCACUGUGAAGUACUGAUAUCCCAUACCUAGGAUGGAUGACUUAUUAGAUUGUUUGUCAGGGGCUAAAGUUUUCUCCAAAUCGACCUCAAAAGUGGUUACCAUUAGAUUCAGAUCUGUGAAGGUGAUAAGUGGAAGACUGCCUUCAAAACACAAGAUGGAUUAUAUGAGUGGGUGGUGAUGCCAUUUGGACUAUCCAAUGCUCCAGCUACUUUCAUGCGAACAAUGAACCAGGUUUGAUUUGAAGUUUGGGGAGCUCGAAGGAUGCUUAGGAAGACAUUGUUGAUGCUGAUAAAACCUUUUGUUGCAGUGUUCAAGUGUGUUUUCAGGUGUUUGUUGAGGUGUGUUGCAGCCCAUUGCAUCAAGCAAGGAAAGAUAUCCCCAAGGCACCUACAACAAAUUGAAGCCCAAGAAGAUUGGGCCUUGCAAAAUUUAAAAAAGGAUAAAUGACAACACCUACUAAAUUGAUUUGCCUGAGGGUUUGGACAUCAGUCCCAUUUUUAAUGUUGCUGACCUUUAUUCAUAUUCAGCUGGAACUAUGGAAGACCAGAUGGAAGAUGGGCACCAUGAGAAGGAUGAAAACCUUUGGAGUAAGUAGUUCCGAAAGAAGAAAAGGGAGCGAGUUGAACAGGUACUAGAUACCAAAUUGGUGGCAACACGAUCUAGGUCAUAUAAGCUUUAUUUCGUUAAGUGGGAAAAUUUGCCAGAUUCUUACAAUUCAUGGAUCACUGAAGCUAAUUUGAUGAAGCAUAGUCUCCCAGAACCAGGAGGUUCAGAUUUUCUCAGAGGGGAGAAUGAUGCGGAGCAUCUCCCCUAGAUUCUCCUGCCCACAUUCUGACCGUGGAAUUAAGGGAGUUUCUAUUUUUGGUUUUCCUGUAGUAUAUUCCUGCUUUUUCUGUUUUGUUGUGGUAGUUUUGGGUUUUGUCUGUUUUGGGGCUGUGAGUGGUCUGUGGACUGGUCAGCUGCAGCCACGCUGCUGGCUGGGAGUUUCUUUUAGUUUGUUUUUUUUGUAUAAGUUUGGUUGAGCUGGGUUGUGGGGAAGGAACGGAUGAGAACAGAGGAAUGGUGUAGGGGAUGGGAGUUUAUUUUCUGGGACAAUAUUGUGGGGGAUUUGCAGAGAUUAACUGUUUUAUCGAAUAAGGAAUGAGAAAAUGAGAAAAAAACAAAUUUGAGAAUUAUUUAACUUGAAUCAGCUCUUGUUAUUUUCUGGGUAAAUGCUGUUAUUUGUUCUCUUCAUAUUUAAUCUCCUGUUUCUUGGUUUUGAGCUGCAUCAAGUUGUUACUAACUUACUAGUACUAUGUGGGUAAUAAAUGCCAAGAGAUAAUAGUUGUAUUAAGGGUUUAGCCAAUUAUCACCAGUAUCAUGAAGGUGACGGAUGCUAGGGGCUACCCAUGGUAGGAAGGGUUUAGUUGGCUUUCACUACCGCCAUAUAGGUGGUAAAUGCUAGGAGCUACCGAAAACCGGGAAUGACCAACUCUUCACCAGUGGCAUAGAGGCAAUAGAUGUCUGAAUCAGUCGGCUCAACUGGUUCAAUGCUUUUGUGGGAAUCUUAUUUGCAGCCAAUGGUAUCUUGUGGGUAUGCUUACCAUUCCUUUUUUCAAUGGUGGAGAGAAGCUUGCUUCCCAUUACACCUGCUAGUGAUUUAGGAAUGAGAAUGGAGUCAUGGUGUAGUAUGGGAUGCACUGCAGUCCUCUUUCUAGCUGCCAUCUUGCACACAUGACUAUAUGCCUAAGUGUGAGGGUAGCCACACUAUCUCAAAGAAAGCACCAUUGCAGAUUUGUGCUAACUUAAGUUUGUACACCAUAGGCACUCCUUAUUUAUGAUCAUUACAUAACGGAUUGUACUUACUCAUUGUACUAUGUAUUUUGCUAACUCAAAGAAAGGUUAAUCAUUCUAUCCAUUCGAUGCAUAGAUAGCUGAAUUAAGGCUGAUAUAUUUCUGAUUCAUGAGAUGUUCUUAAAAACCAUGCUAUUGUAGGAAUUGCUACUACAAUGCAUUCUAAUACAACAAUUGAUGGUUUUGUCAAUAAUAGGAACUUUGUGUGUGUCACUAACACCACUGCAGGUUCUUCUUUAUGGCUGUUGCUAUGAUUGGAAAAGAUUCUUAUGCAAACAGAAACCAAAAAAAAAAAUCUGUAGUAACAAGGGUGUUAUCACAAUAUCUACUGGAUGUGGAAGUUGUUUAGCUAGAGGCGCUAACUCUAAUUGUGUGUAAGUGCAUUGUAGCUACUAGACAGCUUGUAACAGUUCAUAAAUCGAUAGAUGUUGAAAUGAAUCAAAAUGAGAAUGAGGUUUGUGUUUCCUUGAACGCGUUUAAAUUUUAAAUUGACAAAAAUCCUCUUAUUUGUUCCAGAAAUCUUCAAUCUCAUACGUGGUUCUCCUAUCCGAUUGUUAUCAAUUCCUUGUGUGCUUUGGUUUACAAUAUAAGAGUGAAUUCAUAAAAAGAAGAAACUACUUAAAACUAUUUUUACAAACAGAGUAACACUUCUUAGAGCCAUACAUUUAAGAUAGCAAAUGUGAACUUUUUUGAGAAACCAUGUAUGAUGGAAAAAUGCGAAGGAAGAUGCUCACAUGUUUUAGCAUCCCAAUAAUUAUAAAACAUUUCUAGACAACUCCUACUAACAAUUUACUUGUAAGGCAAAAAUUAGUGACCUGGA
Long non-coding RNA from Cryptomeria japonica (Japanese cedar), 4585 nucleotides. RefSeq lists it as uncharacterized. The transcript has 5 exons. NCBI's taxonomy places the organism in Eukaryota, Viridiplantae, Streptophyta, Pinopsida, Cupressales, Cupressaceae. The record is from RefSeq and is a predicted model, not a curated record.